Molecule: ribosomal RNA, 192 nt
Filed under: uncultured bacterium
Lineage: Bacteria
Description: partial 16S rRNA
Rfam family: Bacterial small subunit ribosomal RNA
Source: RNAcentral
GGAGUAUCGACCCUCUCUGUGCCGAAGCUAACGCUUUAAGCACCCCGCCUGGGGAGUACGGUCGCAAGACUAAAACUCAAAGGAAUUGACGGGUGCCCGCACAAGCAGCGGAGCGUGUGGUUUAAUUCGAUGCAACACGAAGAACCUUACCAGGGUUUGACAUGUUGGAAGUAGUGAACCGAAAGGGAAACG